UUAAAUUGAAGAGUUUGAUCAUGGCUCAGAUUGAACGCUGGCGGCAGGCCUAACACAUGCAAGUCGAACGGUAACAGGAAGAAGCUUGCUUCUUCGCUGACGAGUG
This 106-nucleotide ribosomal RNA is filed under the name Escherichia coli. RNAcentral's name for it is "partial 16S ribosomal RNA". It matches the Rfam family "Bacterial small subunit ribosomal RNA", at positions 1 to 104 of the family's 1533-position model. Lineage: Bacteria; Pseudomonadati; Pseudomonadota; Gammaproteobacteria; Enterobacterales; Enterobacteriaceae. The record is from RNAcentral.